CGAAAUCGGUAGACGCUACGGACUUAAUUGAAUUGAGCCUUAGUAUGGAAAAAUCCGUUGGUUUUAUAGACCGUGAGGGUUCAAGUCCCUCUAUCCCCA
This 99-nucleotide transfer RNA is filed under the name Cephalotaxus harringtonia. RNAcentral's name for it is "partial tRNA-Leu". It matches the Rfam family "tRNA", at positions 11 to 71 of the family's 71-position model. Rfam says of the family: Transfer RNA (tRNA) molecules are approximately 80 nucleotides in length. Their secondary structure includes four short double-helical elements and three loops (D, anti-codon, and T loops). Lineage: Eukaryota; Viridiplantae; Streptophyta; Pinopsida; Cupressales; Taxaceae. RNAcentral also lists the same sequence under 7 other names. The record is from RNAcentral.